This 434-nucleotide ribosomal RNA is filed under the name uncultured bacterium. RNAcentral describes it as "partial 16S ribosomal RNA". It matches the Rfam family "Bacterial small subunit ribosomal RNA", at positions 29 to 507 of the family's 1533-position model. The record is from RNAcentral.
AGCGAACGCUGGCGGCAGGCCUAACACAUGCAAGUCGAACGAACCUUUCGGGGUUAGUGGCGGACGGGUGAGUAACACGUGGGAACGUGCCUUUAGGUUCGGAAUAACUCAGGGAAACUUGUGCUAAUACCGAAUGUGCCCUUCGGGGGAAAGAUUAAUCGCCUUUAGAGCGGCCCGCGUCUGAUUAGCUAGUUGGUUGAGGUAAUGGCUCACCAAGGCGACGAUCAGUAGCUGGUCUGAGAGGAGGAUCAGCCACAUUGGGACUGAGACACGGCCCAAACUCCUACGGGAGGCAGCAGUGGGGAAUCUUGCGCAAUGGGCGAAAGCCUGACGCAGCCAUGCCGCGUGAAUGAUGAAGGUCUUAGGAUUGUAAAAUUCUUUCACCGGGGACGAUAAUGACGGUACCCGGAGAAGAAGCACCGGCUAACUACGUG